GAUGAAGAACGUAGCGAAAUGCGAUAAGUAAUGUGAAUUGCAGAAUUCAGUGAAUCAUCGAAUCUUUGAACGCACAUUGCGCCCGCCAGUAUUCUGGCGGGCAUGCCUGUUCGAGCGUCAUUACAACCCUCAGGCCCCCGGGCCUGGCGUUGGGGAUCGGCGGAGCCCCCCGUGGGCACACGCCGUCCCCCAAAUGCAGUGGCGGUCCCGCCGCAGCUUCCAUCGCGUAAUAGCUAACACCUCGCGACUGGAGAGCGGCGCGGCCACGCCGUAAAACACCCAACUCUUCUGCAGUUGACCUCGAAUCAGGUAGGAAUACCCGCUGAACUUAAGCAUAUCAAUAAGCGGAGGA
Molecule: unclassified non-coding RNA, 352 nt
Filed under: soil metagenome
Description: partial contains 5.8S ribosomal RNA, internal transcribed spacer 2, and large subunit ribosomal RNA
Rfam family: 5.8S ribosomal RNA (bases 1-120)
Source: RNAcentral